Molecule: long non-coding RNA, 1923 nt
Filed under: Lotus japonicus
Lineage: Eukaryota; Viridiplantae; Streptophyta; Magnoliopsida; Fabales; Fabaceae
Description: long non-coding RNA (LJAP_LNC001359)
Source: RNAcentral
CUCAAGUUUGCAAACACAAGAAUAUUAAAAAUCCUAAGACUAACUAUGGAGUUUAGCAACUCAUAGUAGAAAAGAUGGAGAGAGAUAUUAGGAGAAGGUGGAGGAGGUGAUGGUGAGAUGUGGUGAGGUGGUGGUGUCUAACAAAAGCCUAAACUCACUUAUUUAUACUAAUAAAUAAACUUGUUCAUCAAGUAACAAUCUUUGUUAUUUAAAUCUUUUCUAAAUCUUCACAAAAUCGGGCCCACAUAAAGGAGUAAGCUGCUGAACAAUCAGGCAUUCGCGGGUCCCACAAGAAGUCUGAAUCUUCAAUUGAGGUAAACAUGAGAGUUGUAGCUCUUUAAGUCAGCUUCGCGGGCCUUCAAUCGGAUCCUAAUUCGGAGUUCUGUAGCUCAAGAUAUGAUCAUUUUAGUGCAGACUGUUCCAGACUCGCAGGAUUAGCGACAGCAACUUUGCAAGGACAUUAUGACCAAGUUUGAGGCUGAUUCUUGAAUUAUGAUGAACAUGCAAGUUGUAGGGCUUCGAGUUAUCUUUCCAAUGACAUAUUAUGCGCCCAAUUUGGAUAUUUGUAGCUCCCGAUUCAACCUGUUCUAGCAAAACAGUCACAGAAACUAAAAGUGUAGAAUUAAGCACUUUUCCAUGAAUAAUCCAAAUAAACACUAAUGGUCAAAACAUGGCUAAGUUAUAACAAUUAUGCGCUUAUCAAAUACCCCCACACUUAGCAUUUGGCACUCCUGGGCAAAACUGGGCUUGAUGUGCUUCAUAUUGCUCUGAAAAAAAAAAUGUUAGCAACGUAUAUAAAAAAACAAAGAAUAGCAAAUAUUAAUAAUAAGAAUGAUAUUAAAGGGAAAGAAGAUAGAAAAGAUAACAAACUAAUAUAGAAGAGAGGAAAGAUAUAGAAAAAAAAAAAGAUAGUGAUCUAAAAAUAGAAGAUAGGAAAAAGAAUUAGAAGAUAGGAGAUAGAGAUAAAAGAUAUGAGAUAGAUAUAUUAGAUAUAGAUAUGAAAUAAAAACAACCAACAAUCUAUUAAAUAAAAAAAAAUCUAAUAAAUAAAAAAUCUAAUCCUAACCGCUAGCCCUUUUUUUUGUUUUUUUUUUAUAAAAACGAAAAUAAAAUAAAUAAAACAAAAAAAAAUAAAAAAAAUACUCUAAAAACAAUUAAUAAUCACCGAAGUCCCCGGCAACGGCGCCAAUUUGACGAACGCACUGUCGCGGGUGCGUGCCAAAAUAUUCUGCUUUGAAUGCAGUACAAGGUGAUGAACACCAGGAUCGAUCUCACAAGGACUUGAUAAAUUAUUAAUUGAUAUUAGAGUAAAACAAGAAACCUAAAAGGGGUUGAUUGAUUGGAUUGAAAAGUAACAAAGCAAUAACUAAAUAGACUAGACAGAAGAGAGAAAACGUUAGUCAUCGGAUUAUAACAUUCAAGUGCAACAAACCUUCAUUGGUUACAAAAGAUUAAUUCUUCCUUAUCAAUUCCCUAAUUCGUGAGAACUAAUUAACUAAGCGGAAAUUAAUUCACAGUUUCCUAAACUAAGCGAUUAAGAAACAGUUACGAACUAACAUGAACUAAGCGAACAUGCACCAACUCUUAUUCCUAAACCUAAGGAAUUAAGCAAACCCUAGAUCAGAAAUAGAGAUGAAAAGAAUUAAUAAAGAAAGAAAUUUGCAUUAAGAACAGAACCUCAAGUUUGCAAACACAAGAAUAUUAAAAAUCCUAAGACUAACUAUGGAGUUUAGCAACUCAUAGUAGAAAAGAUGGAGAGAGAUAUUAGGAGAAGGUGGAGGAGGUGAUGGUGAGAUGUGGUGAGGUGGUGGUGUCUAACAAAAGCCUAAACUCACUUAUUUAUACUAAUAAAUAAACUUGUUCAUCAAGUAACAAUCUUUGUUAUCUAAAUCUUUUCUAAAUCUUCACAAAAUCGGGCCCACA